RNAcentral lists this small RNA (102 nucleotides) under Priestia endophytica. Its description in RNAcentral is "Bacillus endophyticus Guanidine-I sequence". It matches the Rfam family "Guanidine-I riboswitch aptamer". Rfam says of the family: This family represents a conserved RNA structure found upstream of the ykkC and yxkD genes in Bacillus subtilis and related genes in other bacteria. The record is from Rfam by way of RNAcentral. Lineage: Bacteria; Bacillati; Bacillota; Bacilli; Caryophanales; Bacillaceae.
AAACAUGUUUUCUAGGGUUCCGUAACGAAUACGUUAGCCUGGUCCGAGAGAAAACUCAUAGUUGAUUAAACUAUGCCACGGAAGGAUAAAAGCCUGGGAGAA